CUCUGGACAAGUUUUGACAAAUCUCCCCCUCUGUACUGGCACCGCAGCAAAGACAACAGUAGGGACGGCACGUGCCCAAUGUAGCCAGUGUUUAGCUGAAGAGCCCAAGUAUUGCAUGAAGUUACCACAUUGCUGGUGGGAAUAUUGGAUUUAAUAGUACGGUGGACACGGGUUGCUCAGUCUAAAAUAAGAAAGGAGACAGCUAUAGUUUUUCUACAUGCAACAGCCGAUAAAAAUGGCGAGAAUACAAGGGCACUUUCACACUUAUUGCACUCUGGAUCAUCUGACUACAAGCAAUGCUGGGAGCUCCAUGGAGGAACACACAAAACAACAGAACUCACAAACAGCAAGAUCAUCUUCCUAAAAUUUGGAUCUCUUUUUGUAUGUGUACAGAGGCCCUG
This is a long non-coding RNA of Hyla sarda, 401 nucleotides long. RefSeq lists it as uncharacterized. NCBI's taxonomy places the organism in Eukaryota, Metazoa, Chordata, Amphibia, Anura, Hylidae. The transcript is spliced from 4 exons. The record is from RefSeq and is a predicted model, not a curated record.